Molecule: small RNA, 418 nt
Filed under: Metabacillus indicus
Lineage: Bacteria; Bacillati; Bacillota; Bacilli; Caryophanales; Bacillaceae
Description: Bacillus indicus cspA thermoregulator
Rfam family: cspA thermoregulator
Source: Rfam by way of RNAcentral
GACAAGUAGAUUCCUACUUUAAAAAGAUCUUAGAAACGGUUGCGGGUCCUUUAGGCUUUUGUUAUAAUGAAGUUACUUAUUUUUGUUCGUAAUAUGAUUAAAAAGGCACUCGUCUUGAAGAAUAUUAUUUAGAGCAGGGAUAGUAAUACAAUUGUGCGCUUGGCGCACGAGGAGGAUACACACAUGUUACAAGGUAAAGUUAAAUGGUUUAACGCAGAAAAAGGUUUCGGUUUCAUCGAAGCAGAAGGUCAAGAAGACGUAUUCGUACAUUUCUCUGCUAUUCAAGGCGAAGGCUUCAAAUCUCUAGAAGAAGGCCAAGAAGUUACUUUCGAAAUCGUUGAAGGCGCUCGUGGACCACAAGCUGCUAACGUUCAAAAGUAAUGACUGAAAAAGACUCCUGUUAAGGAGUCUUUUUUUG